CAUAAUUCUCUUAUCUUUCAGCUCCGUCUUAGUAAUAUUGUUAUCAUGGCUCGCAGUUAUGCUUUCUAUUUCACUUAUGGUGAUGUCUGUUUUAGGAAAUUUCAGAUUGCAAGGCCUUUGGCUAGUCUUUAAAAAAUAGCAGUAGCAAGCAGAGUGUAUAUGCAAUAGCAACAAAGUGAAACACGAAAAGGAAAAAAAAAACAGCAGCAGUGAAGCAGAGAAAGAAGGGAAAGACAAUAACAAUGGCCAAGAAGAAGAAGAAGAAGAAGAAGAAGAAGAAGAAGAAGAAGAAGAAGAAGAAGUUCAAGAGGAAGAAGAACUUUAAUAAGAAGUUCAAGAAGAAGAAGAACAAGUAAAAAGUCACAUACUGAGAAGCUGGAACAUCUUCAGGGAUAUGUUGCAUUCGAGUUUCAUCAUUUUCAUAGGCGCCAAAGUGAUCUUUUUUCAAUUUACUCUUGUACUUUCUCCGGGCAUCUUGAACUGAUUCCAAAGUCUAUUUUUUUCAGCUUCGGAAAUAUCAUUUUUAUCCUACAAUUGGUCUCAAAUCUGUUAGUGCAGAAAAUAUGAAAGAUUUUCAAACAAAAAUUAAAAAUUAAGAAGUUUAGACCUUGGUAUAUUCC
Long non-coding RNA from Nicotiana tabacum (common tobacco), 620 nucleotides. RefSeq lists it as uncharacterized. Lineage: Eukaryota; Viridiplantae; Streptophyta; Magnoliopsida; Solanales; Solanaceae. The record is from RefSeq and is a predicted model, not a curated record.